AAAUUGGGAUAAAAACAAAACUAAAUAACUAAUUGAUACAAUUUUUUUACUAAUUAAAGAUGGAAGUCCAAACAACAAAAGUUAGGUGCUUUGAACCUGCCGACAAAACAAAAGAAAGUGCUAAAGCCAUCUAUCGACAAAAUCUGCAAUCAUUUAAUUGCCAACCCUAUAUAUACGGACUCCCAUACAAUGUUGGGAAUAUGUUCUGCAUUAUAAGAGACAUGCAUUAUCAGACAAUUUUACACAUAUUUAAACUGGUCUCCAAGUUCUUUUAUAAACCUUUAUAUCUUUUAUAACUAUUAGCUUCAUUGUGCAUAAAUAAACA
This 325-nucleotide long non-coding RNA is filed under the name Androctonus crassicauda. Lineage: Eukaryota; Metazoa; Arthropoda; Arachnida; Scorpiones; Buthidae. The record is from RNAcentral.